UCCAGUGGCAAACAGAGAAGCCGCCGGAGAUUUACCCAAAACUGGCGCUGGUAUACCCGAUAUACGAAUUCUUGCAGGUUUCCCGGCGGAGCGAGUAGCCAAUGCUUGUAAAAGAGCAGCCCACUGAACCCCUUGAACGAUCCCGAAAUCGACUAUGUGAAUCUUGCUUGCUCUCUCGGUGGCCUCGAUAAUUGCCUGGUUCGCUGUUAAAUGAGCAAACUUCGAAUAAGGACACGCAUCAUUUAACGCUUUGUAAGAGAGAGUGAAGUCCUCGCAGGUAGUCUCGAAUAUGGUUAAGCUCUUUUCUGCUUGUAGAGAAACUCUGCUAUAUAAAGCUUCGGCAAAGUAAGAGGCUACUCUCUCAGUUGGAUCUCCU
RNAcentral lists this unclassified non-coding RNA (376 nucleotides) under Hevea brasiliensis (rubber tree). Lineage: Eukaryota; Viridiplantae; Streptophyta; Magnoliopsida; Malpighiales; Euphorbiaceae. The record is from RNAcentral.